Long non-coding RNA from Vidua chalybeata, 784 nucleotides. RefSeq lists it as uncharacterized. The record is from RefSeq and is a predicted model, not a curated record. The transcript is spliced from 2 exons. NCBI's taxonomy places the organism in Eukaryota, Metazoa, Chordata, Aves, Passeriformes, Viduidae.
UUUCCAAUAGAUUGUGAUCAAACUAGCUAUUUGCCUCAUCUUUUAAGAGCCAAACAAAAUGAACUUCAUUAAAGCUUUGCUAUUGUUUUUCAGCCCUUAAGUCACUCUCGUAAUUUUUUACUUGAAAAGUACUCAAAUACUUCUUAUCUGUACAACCUCCAGUAUAGCCAGUUUUCUAGGUCUUUUGAUUGCAAAGUGAAUGGAGGAAGAGUAUUGGAGAAAACCUGAGCAUCUGGAAAAGCCUGAUAAUGACCAACAGCAGGUGUAUUGCUGCUGCUAGGGCUCAGAGCAGGAUGGAGGAGAGUGACGCAGGUGUUGGGUUAAUCUUUUAACUCCUGCAGAGGACAUGAGAGCAGUACAGAAAAGGAAUUGGUGGCUGGACAUCAUUCACCCAUUACUAUAUGUCAUUCUUCAAUUCUUGCGAUGUAAUGGCAGAACAUCCAUUAAAGUUAGAGAUAUUUUUGCAGACAAAGACCAAAGGAAGAUCAUUUACAAUUCAGCUCUUAAUUUGUUCCUUCUAAUUAUGAGGGGGAAAAGGUCCUCACAAUUAUCCUACUUUCUUGAGUAACAAGGAAAAAGUGCCAACAGACCUCAACAUAUAUGGGGAACUCCUGCCUGUGUGUGUAAGUUAAAGGUUUAUAACAUGAUCCAAAGUCAAAUGGAACUACUUACUUAUGUUCAUUUCAAUCAAUUUGGAACCAAGACUUAACUCAAAAGAAUUCUAAAUAAUUAGGAUAACAUUAGCUGCUACUUCUUUUUCUGACAAUAAACAUCAUGACCAGUA